GUGAAUCAUCGAAUUUUUGAACGCAAAUUGCACUCUCCUCGGAGAGUAUGCCUGUUUGAGGUUCAGCCUAUAAAAAAUCGACAUCGUUGCUGUUUCGCGGUGGCGUUCGUCGGAAAUUGGGUCAUCUUACAUCUUUUGGUGUUAAGCGACUUCAAAUUUCCUUUUUGGUUCCUUGAACGAUUCUGAGCU
This 189-nucleotide unclassified non-coding RNA is filed under the name Glomus sp. Its description in RNAcentral is "partial contains 5.8S ribosomal RNA and internal transcribed spacer 2". The stretch from base 1 to 65 matches the Rfam family "5.8S ribosomal RNA", at positions 84 to 154 of the family's 154-position model. Lineage: Eukaryota; Fungi; Glomeromycota; Glomeromycetes; Glomerales; Glomeraceae. The record is from RNAcentral.